RNAcentral lists this ribosomal RNA (390 nucleotides) under uncultured bacterium. RNAcentral describes it as "bacterial SSU rRNA". It matches the Rfam family "Bacterial small subunit ribosomal RNA", at positions 29 to 420 of the family's 1533-position model. The record is from RNAcentral.
AUUGAACGCUGGCGGAAUGCUUUACACAUGCAAGUCGAACGGCAGCACGGGGGCAACCCUGGUGGCGAGUGGCGAACGGGUGAGUAAUACAUCGGAACGUGCCCAGUCGUGGGGGAUAACGUAGCGAAAGCUACGCUAAUACCGCAUACGAUCUACGGAUGAAAGCGGGGGAUCGCAAGACCUCGCGCGAUUGGAGCGGCCGAUGGCAGAUUAGGUAGUUGGUGGGGUAAAGGCUCACCAAGCCGACGAUCUGUAGCUGGUCUGAGAGGACGACCAGCCACACUGGGACUGAGACACGGCCCAGACUCCUACGGGAGGCAGCAGUGGGGAAUUUUGGACAAUGGGCGCAAGCCUGAUCCAGCAAUGCCGCGUGCAGGAAGAAGGCCUCGG